ACGGGUGAGUAACGCGUGGGAAUCUACCCAUCUCUACGGAAUAACGCAUGGAAACGUGUGCUAAUACCGUAUACGCCCUACGGGGGAAAGAUUUAUCGGGGAUGGAUGAGCCCGCGUUGGAUUAGCUAGUUGGUGGGGUAAAGGCCUACCAAGGCGACGAUCCAUAGCUGGUCUGAGAGGAUGAUCAGCCACAUUGGGACUGAGACACGGCCCAAACUCCUACGGGAGGCAGCAGUGGGGAAUAUUGGACAAUGGGCGCAAGCCUGAUCCAGCCAUGCCGCGUGAGUGAUGAAGGCCUUAGGGUUGUAAAGCUCUUUCACCGGAGAAGAUAAUGACGGUAUCCGGAGAAGAAGCCCGGGCUAACUUCGUGCCAGCAGCCGCGGUAAUACGAAGGGGGCUAGCGUUGUUCGGAAUUACUGGGCGUAAAGCGCACGUAGGCGGACUUUUAAGUCAGGGGUGAAAUCCCGGGGCUCAAUCUCGGAACUGCCUUUGAUACUGGAAGUCUGGAGUAUGGAAGAGGUAAGUGGAAUUCCGAGU
Molecule: ribosomal RNA, 537 nt
Filed under: uncultured bacterium
Lineage: Bacteria
Description: bacterial SSU rRNA
Rfam family: Bacterial small subunit ribosomal RNA
Source: RNAcentral